This 74-nucleotide transfer RNA is filed under the name Marmota monax (woodchuck). RNAcentral describes it as "tRNA.Ala". It matches the Rfam family "tRNA". Rfam says of the family: Transfer RNA (tRNA) molecules are approximately 80 nucleotides in length. Their secondary structure includes four short double-helical elements and three loops (D, anti-codon, and T loops). The record is from RNAcentral. Lineage: Eukaryota; Metazoa; Chordata; Mammalia; Rodentia; Sciuridae.
GGGGUUGUAGCUCAGUGGUAGAGUGCUUGCCUUGCAUGCAUGAGGCCCUGGGUUCGAUCUCCAGCAUCACAUCA